GCCCUAGUAGUAUAACCCAAUACUUUGGUCUUGUAAACCAAAAAUGAAGCCUUAACGCUUCCUAGGACA
RNAcentral lists this transfer RNA (69 nucleotides) under Sciurus ignitus (Bolivian squirrel). Its description in RNAcentral is "Hadrosciurus ignitus (Bolivian squirrel) tRNA-Thr". The record is from RNAcentral. Lineage: Eukaryota; Metazoa; Chordata; Mammalia; Rodentia; Sciuridae.